UACAGAGGGGGCGAGCGUUGUUCGGAAUUACUGGGCGUAAAGGGCGCGUAGGCGGCCUUCUAAGUCGAACGUGAAAUCCCCGGGCUCAACCCGGGAACUGCGUCCGAUACUGGGAGGCUUGAAUCCGGGAGAGGGAUGUGGAAUUCCAGGUGUAGCGGUGAAAUUCGUAGAUAUUCGGAAGAACACCAGUGGCGAAGGCGGCUCACUGGCUCGGAACUGACGCUGAGGUGCGAAAGCGUGGGGAGCAAACAGG
Molecule: ribosomal RNA, 253 nt
Filed under: uncultured bacterium
Lineage: Bacteria
Description: partial 16S ribosomal RNA
Rfam family: Bacterial small subunit ribosomal RNA
Source: RNAcentral